Molecule: ribosomal RNA, 495 nt
Filed under: uncultured bacterium
Lineage: Bacteria
Description: partial 16S ribosomal RNA
Rfam family: Bacterial small subunit ribosomal RNA
Source: RNAcentral
GACGAACGCUGGCGGCGUGCCUAAUACAUGCAAGUAGAACGCUGAAGGAGGAGCUUGCUUCUCCGGAUGAGUUGCGAACGGGUGAGUAACGCGUAGGUAACCUGCCUGGUAGCGGGGGAUAACUAUUGGAAACGAUAGCUAAUACCGCAUAAGAGUAGAUGUUGCAUGACAUUUGCUUAAAAGGUGCAAUUGCAUCACUACCAGAUGGACCUGCGUUGUAUUAGCUAGUUGGUGGGGUAACGGCUUACCAAGGCGACGAUACAUAGCCGACCUGAGAGGGGGAUCGGCCACACUGGGACUGGGACACGGCCCAGACUCCUUCGGGAGGCAGCAGUAGGGGAUCUUCGGCAAUGGACGGAAGUCUGACCGAGCAACGCCGCGUGAGUGAAGAAGGUUUUCGGAUCGUAAAGCUCUGUUGUAAGAGAAGAACGAGUGUGAGAGUGGAAAGUUCACACUGUGACGGUAUCUUACCAGAAAGGGACGGCUAACUACGUG